This 253-nucleotide ribosomal RNA is filed under the name uncultured bacterium. Its description in RNAcentral is "partial 16S ribosomal RNA". It matches the Rfam family "Bacterial small subunit ribosomal RNA", at positions 524 to 776 of the family's 1533-position model. The record is from RNAcentral.
UACGUAGGGUGCAAGCGUUAUCCGGAAUUAUUGGGCGUAAAGAGCUCGUAGGCGGUUUGUCGCGUCUGCCGUGAAAGUCCGGGGCUCAACUCCGGAUCUGCGGUGGGUACGGGCAGACUAGAGUGAUGUAGGGGAGACUGGAAUUCCUGGUGUAGCGGUGAAAUGCGCAGAUAUCAGGAGGAACACCGAUGGCGAAGGCAGGUCUCUGGGCAGUAACUGACGCUGAGGAGCGAAAGCAUGGGGAGCGAACAGG